RNAcentral lists this non-coding RNA (828 nucleotides) under Cryptosporidium parvum. The record is from RNAcentral. Lineage: Eukaryota; Apicomplexa; Conoidasida; Eucoccidiorida; Cryptosporidiidae.
AAUUUAUUAUUAAUACAAAUAGUCUCAAAUUCAUAUAGAUUAGACUUGCAGAAAUUAAUAUAAUAAGUAUUCCGACUAUUAUUGAAGAAAGUUUAUAUUUUCUAACAUAAUAGUCAAUAAUAUUUUUACCAAUAAGGGUACAAAUAACUGAAAUAAAAAGUAGUAAAAUAGCCAAAUCAAAGUGAACUCUCCCUUCAAAUAGGUAUGUAAAAAAGCAUGUCAAAGUUGAUAUGAUCAAACAAGUGGAGUUAUUUGCAGCAAUUGAAGAAGGAUCGACUUGAGAGGAAUAGAAAAUCGUACUUAUCAGAAUCCCCCCGCUUGCACCUGUAAUUCCACCUAUUAGUCCGACUGAGAGUACCUCCAAGCUUGCCAAAAUAUAGUUUGAAAAAUUAUUACAAUAUUUAGACCGAAUAUAAGACACUAUAUCGAUUGCGUUAUAAUCUUGGUUUGCCACAUUACUGUGGAAAGUCUUUGCGAUUUUUGCAAGCCUUUCUUGUGAAUUAAUUAUUGAAGUUAUCAAAUUCAAAGAUCGUUUUGGAAGCGAAAUGUUUGGGAAUAGCAACAGUAUAAUCACGCUGGAUAGCCACAAUAGCAAAUGAAUACGAGAUUCUUUUGAAAAUAGUAUGCCACUCUCUAAAAUAGAGAUCCAAACUGAGAAAAAGCAGAGCAAAAUAAAUGUAAUCCACAGUUUGUAGUUUCUAAAUUUUACCCAUUUAUCCUGAUGUAGUGGAGAAGCAAUUUGAAUAAUGCUACUUUGCUCGUUAAUGCUAUUCAUUACGAUUUUCUCUACUCUAAUAAUAGAUAAAGUAUAUAAAUACAAAAUGACCU